This is a regulatory RNA element of Bacilli bacterium VT-13-104, 78 nucleotides long. It matches the Rfam family "ZMP/ZTP riboswitch aptamer (pfl RNA motif)". Rfam says of the family: Previously known as pfl RNA. ZMP is also known as AICAR. NCBI's taxonomy places the organism in Bacteria, Bacillati, Bacillota, Bacilli. The record is from Rfam.
AGGGCUAUGUGUAACUGGCGAACGCGGAUUACCGCGAGGGAGCACAUAGUUUAUAAGCCGUUCGCCUGGGCAGAGGUA